UUUUUAAUUUGAAUUCUUAAACAUUUCUAUUUAAUAUUUUUGGCAGAAUUUUGUCCCCCAAAAUUUGAAGGCCAUGGCAAUAGGCCACCUUGCACUUGACCAUAAGAGACCCUGAUUUGAAUCGUAUCUCUUAAAGUUACAACAUUAAGUGGGUGUUUGGUUACCCGGUAGAAAAGUGCAAAAGCACUUUCAUCUUCUCAAAAGUAAUUUUGUGAUGUUUGGUUAUCUUUCACCCUUAUGUUGCUGCUGUGCUUUUGACCAGGCUGAAGCUAUUUUCACAGAAGCUGCUAUUCCUAGCUUCUAGGAAUCGAUUUUCACUUCCUAUGUUUGUUUUUUUCCCAAUUUCUCUUUUUUUGCCCUUGAUUAUGGACUAUACCUUCCCCAUCAUAAGUCCAUGCUUAUAUGAUUUUUUCAAAUCUCCUUUCAAACAUUGAAGACAAAGCUGUUUUUCACCUAUAUCAUUACUCCAUGUUUAUCUGAAUUUACUAAUCUCCUGCAAAAAUUGAAGACAAAGUUGUUUCUUCACCUAAAUCAUAACUUCAUUAAACUCUAAUUUCUUAUUUUGACAGAGUAAACCAAUAGGUUCACCUAAAUCAAAACUUCUAUAUAAAUGAUGGCUCUUCUCCCACCCUCUUAUAUUAAUCUAGUAAUUUUAUUGUCAAUUAAUCAAAAAUAAAUGAAGGAUGAGAAAACUCACAUGUUAAAGUCCAUUUUGGUCUUUUACACAUUUAAAAGCAAUUCUGCCUCAAAACAUCCUAACAACAUUUUUCAUCUAAAUCACUUUUGUUUUAAAGGUAACCAAACAUAAAUCACUUUACAUUCAACUCACUUUUAACCAAAAUUAAUUCUACCAAAAUUAAUUUUUUCCACCGCACAGCCAAACACACGCUAAAACUAUUACCACACCUCUUAAACAAUUUAUUUUUUGAUAGAAUGACAAAGAGAACAAAAAAACAAGGGCAUUAAAAACAAGAAUCAACAUGGGGCAUCAAGCCUCGACACAAUCUUCAAGCUGAGGUGUUUGCCGAAGGGUUUUGUUAACAAGUGCCCUAAAGACGUUGUUUAAGGAACCCAUAAAAAGAAAUUAUGUCUCGAAAAUAUAUGUCAAACACUUGUUGAAGUUAUAAUUGUACAAUUUCCAAUACAAAAGUUGUUACUUUUAGAGGCUUAAACAAUGCCCUUAUAACACUUGUUAACAUUUUCCUUUGCCGAAAGGUCAC
RNAcentral lists this long non-coding RNA (1220 nucleotides) under Medicago truncatula (barrel medic). RNAcentral's name for it is "long non-coding RNA (MTRU_LNC000700)". The record is from RNAcentral. Lineage: Eukaryota; Viridiplantae; Streptophyta; Magnoliopsida; Fabales; Fabaceae.